ACGUGUUGUACACGUCAUGUUAACGUGAUCGUCUUGUUCGAGCCCAUGCCCCGAGAACGUAAUUGUGUGAGGAUAUUGUUGCGGAGUGACGAGUGUAAUUGUAUCAUAGUUUAUGGAGAAAAACAAUUUAAAAGGGACGUUCAACGCUCUGUCAAAUCAGUCCUAUUUAAACUUGCGCAAUGACGUCGGCAUGUGGUCGUGGAGGAAAACGAUCAAAGAGAAAUUAAGGUCCUCACAUGGCGCGAAACCAACUUUUUCCAUGUCAAACUUGGACAGCGGCUGUCCAUGACACACAUGACAUCAUCUUCUAGUGGCGCUCCACUCCACUCCACAGAAAAUACUGUGAUAAAGGAACUGGAAGAAGAGCCCUUUCGCUUUGUGGCCUUUAAAAUCAAUGGUGAAUUUGAACAAGGAGUUUGUGGACGCCACCAAUGCCACCAGAAUGUUUCCAUUAGAGGAGUGGAAGAGGGGUUUUUGUGAGACCACCCUCAGAGGCCGGCCUCUUCGACCUGCGACCAGAGAUGCUGGUGUGGCUCCACGACACCAAGUUGGAGAGAGAGAGAGAGAGAGA
This is a long non-coding RNA of Syngnathus typhle (broad-nosed pipefish), 571 nucleotides long. RefSeq lists it as uncharacterized. NCBI's taxonomy places the organism in Eukaryota, Metazoa, Chordata, Actinopteri, Syngnathiformes, Syngnathidae. The record is from RefSeq and is a predicted model, not a curated record. The transcript is spliced from 4 exons.